CCGAGUUUACAACUCCCAAACCCAAUGUGAACCUUACCUCUUGUUGCUUCGGCGGGAACGCCCCGGCGCCCUCUCGGGGGCAAGCCCGGAACCAGGCGCCCGCCGGAGACCCCAAACUCUUGUUUUAUAAAUGGUAUAUUCUGAGUGUUAAACGCAAAAUAAAUCA
This 166-nucleotide unclassified non-coding RNA is filed under the name soil metagenome. Its description in RNAcentral is "partial internal transcribed spacer 1". The record is from RNAcentral.